GACGAACGCUGGCGGCGUGCCUAAUACAUGCAAGUUGAGCGAUGAAGCUUGGUGCUUGCACCAAUUUGAAGAGCAGCGAACGGGUGAGUAACGCGUGGGGAAUCUGCCUUUGAGCGGGGGACAACAUUUGGAAACGAAUGCUAAUACCGCAUAACAACUUUAAACAUAAGUUUUAAGUUUGAAAGAUGCAAUUGCAUCACUCAAAGAUGAUCCCGCGUUGUAUUAGCUAGUUGGUGAGGUAAAGGCUCACCAAGGCGAUGAUACAUAGCCGACCUGAGAGGGUGAUCGGCCACAUUGGGACUGAGACACGGCCCAAACUCCUACGGGAGGCAGCAGUAGGGAAUCUUCGGCAAUGGACGAAAGUCUGACCGAGCAACGCCGCGUGAGUGAAGAAGGUUUUCGGAUCGUAAAACUCUGUUGGUAGAGAAGAACGUUGGUGAGAGUGGAAAGCUCAUCAAGUGACGGUAACGACCCAGAAAGGGACGGCUAACUACGU
This 496-nucleotide ribosomal RNA is filed under the name uncultured bacterium. Its description in RNAcentral is "partial 16S ribosomal RNA". It matches the Rfam family "Bacterial small subunit ribosomal RNA", at positions 28 to 506 of the family's 1533-position model. The record is from RNAcentral.